GAUGAACGCUGGCGGUGUGCCUAACACAUGCAAGUCGAGCGAAAACACAAUAAGAUCGUGCUCUUGCGGUUAGCGGGGGACGGGCGGGUAACAAAUGGGUCAGAUUCUACUUUGUCUGGAAUAAUAACGGGAAAAAAGGGACAAUAAUACCUAAUACGACGUACCGCAUGGAUCUAAAGUGCUACAUGCUUUUCCUAAUACAAUUAGCUGGUCUCGCGCCGGAUUAGCUAGUUGGUAAGGUAACGGCUUACCAAGGAAACGAUACGUAGCCGAUCUGAGAGGAUGAUCAGCCACACUGGAACUGAGACACGGUCCAGACUCCUACGGGAGGCAGCAGUGGGGAAUAUUGGACAAUGGGCGAAAGCCUGACGGAGCAACACCGCGUGGGUGAAGAAGGUCUUCGGGUCGUAAAGCUCUUUUGUUGGGAAAGAAAAGAAGCAGGAUAAUCUGCCGACGUUUUGACGGUACCUAAAGAGAAAGCCACGGCUAACUUCGUG
RNAcentral lists this ribosomal RNA (497 nucleotides) under uncultured bacterium. RNAcentral describes it as "partial 16S ribosomal RNA". It matches the Rfam family "Bacterial small subunit ribosomal RNA", at positions 28 to 507 of the family's 1533-position model. The record is from RNAcentral.